CCUACGGGUGGCAGCAGUGAGGAAUAUUGGUCAAUGGCCGGAAGGCUGAACCAGCCAUGCCGCGUGAAGGUCAGUGCCCUAUGGGCGUUAAACUUCUUUUGUGCGGGAGCAAUAAUGGUCACGUGUGGCCAGACGAGAGUACCGUACGAAUAAGCAUCGGCUAACUCCGUGCCAGCAGCCGCGGUAAUACGGGGGAUGCAAGCGUUAUCCGGAUUUAUUGGGGUUAAAGGGUGCGUAGGCUGUGAGGUAAGUCAGUGGUGAAAUGCCACCGCGCAACGGGGUGAAGUGCCAUUGAUACUGCCUUGCUGGAAUGCGGAUGCCGUGGGAGGAAUGUGUGGUGUAGCGGUGAAAUGCAUAGAUAUCACACAGAACACCGAUUGCGAAGGCAUCUCACGAAUCCGCGAUUGACGCUGAUGCACGAAAGCGUGGGUAUCAAACAGGAUUAGAUACCCCAGUAGUC
This 460-nucleotide ribosomal RNA is filed under the name uncultured bacterium. RNAcentral describes it as "partial 16S ribosomal RNA". It matches the Rfam family "Bacterial small subunit ribosomal RNA", at positions 338 to 795 of the family's 1533-position model. The record is from RNAcentral.